This is a long non-coding RNA of Vespa mandarinia (Asian giant hornet), 1714 nucleotides long. RefSeq lists it as uncharacterized. The record is from RefSeq and is a predicted model, not a curated record. NCBI's taxonomy places the organism in Eukaryota, Metazoa, Arthropoda, Insecta, Hymenoptera, Vespidae.
CCAGUCUCUCCGGUUCUUCCUUUAGGAACUUCUCCUCGCGUACGAUCUUCUCCAUUUCGGAACUUAGAAGACCCUUCAUACCUUCUUGUAGACUUGGAAAUCGUACCUUUAAAUCCGCCACGGCUUUGCUGAAACGUAGAGGAUUCUACUGACCUGGUAUACUAUAGAGGGAGACCGAGCUGUCUCUAGAGAAACGAGCAGAGCCCCCAAGACUUCCAAGGGGAUUUUUGCCGCACUGGUAGCUGCGAAGCGGCUUGGCUGGCGGCACCGCGCCACCUCCUAAUUCAUCCAUCCAAAAAAGUCAAACAAAAUGAACCGGGAAGAGUGGUUGUAUACCGAGAGAUAUAUGGAACUUCGCGAGCACUUCAAUGAAUUGAAUGUUUUAACGGUCCUCUUAUUCUUUUCUUGCUAUCUAUUGGUUUCUUUUAUUUUCUUUUAUCUUAUUUCAUUCCUUUUCUCUAUACUUUUCUCUUAUUUUUUGGCUCAUUGUUAUUCUUUUAUUCCUUUUCCUAGGUAAUUCUUUUCUCCCUCCCGCCCCUUUCACUACCCUCUUUGUUUCAAUCGUUAAACCUUUGAUAAAUAGGAAAAGUACCGAUGAGUAUAUAACUUUUUCUUUUUCUUUUCUUUUUUUUUUUUUUUUUUUUUGAAGCGAACUCGAAUAUUUCGGGUCGAUUUUUUUCUUCCUUUUUAAAUAUUACAUUUCUACGUUAUCCAUAAGAAUUUUUAGAUGUAUAUAGUUGUUCUUUUGUAAUUUCUUUUUGUAUAUAAAAUAACUGAGAGAUGAGUACAAAUAAUUUAUUAUAGAAAAUAUGUUCAAAAAAUUAAUGAUAAAUUAGAAACUUGCAAAAUAAGAAACUCAAUCUCUUUAAUUAUCUAUAACUUUCUUACGUGUAAUGAACAAAUUUUUUUAAAUUACGAAAGAUUCCAAUUUUUCUAUAUUAAAAUCGAUUAAAAAAAGAAAAAAAAAAAAAAAAAGAAAAAAAGAAGAAGAAAAAGAAAAAGAAAGAAAAAAAGGAAAAAAAAAGAAACGAAAAAGAAAAAAAAAGAAGGAAAAAAGAGCAGAGAAGAGGCAAUAAAACAAAAAAAGAAAAAAGAAAUAAAAAGGAUCCGAAACAAUCGAGUUCAAUCAUAAUUUUUCGAGACCACUACAAAAUUCUAGAAUUAAUAAUACAUCAAAUAUUUUUCUUAUAAGAUGCAAAUCAAAGGAUCAUGUCGAACCGAAGAAAUCUCGGACAAGGCGAUUCUUUUGUCCAAGUCGGAACGGUGCCUCGAGUCCCUUUGAUUCGUUCAACGAUCGAGCAAGGAUGCGGGGCGACGAAGGAGGGGUGUGGUGCACUUGGAAAUUUUGUUAUUUGCUUACUCGGCAACCUGUGUUUUUAGUAUUAUUAAUCACAGAGUAAUCGAUCGGUCUUAAUUAGUGUCGAUACCAGACAGGGUAGUAAAAUGACGUAAUUAGUAGAGUUUCAAUGCAAACAGAGAAAAGGGUGGAUUAAGGGGAUGAGAGGGUUAAGGGUGAAGGGGGUAAAAGUAGAUAGGGUCGAUCGGUUAACGUUCUCGUUUCGAAUUCGAGGCUUCGCCGAUUGAAAGGACUUUGCCUUUGAGUUCUCGAGAACGAAACUGAAAUGUUUUGAUUUCGAUCGAUAUUAACUUUAUAUAUAUAUAUAUAUAUAUAUAUAUAUAUAUAUAUAUAUACAUAUAUAUACAUAUAUGUAUA